RNAcentral lists this ribosomal RNA (440 nucleotides) under uncultured bacterium. Its description in RNAcentral is "partial 16S ribosomal RNA". It matches the Rfam family "Bacterial small subunit ribosomal RNA", at positions 338 to 795 of the family's 1533-position model. The record is from RNAcentral.
CCUACGGGAGGCUGCAGUGGGGAAUAUUGGACAAUGGGGGGAACCCUGAUCCAGCGACGCCGCGUGAGUGAAGAAGUAUUUCGGUAUGUAAAGCUCUAUCAGUAGGGAAGAAAAUGACGGUACCUGACUAAGAAGCCCCGGCUAACUACGUGCCAGCAGCCGCGGUAAUACGUAGGGGGCCAGCGUUAUCCGGAUUUACUGGGUGUAAAGGGAGCGUAGACGGUGCAGCAAGUCUGAUGUGAAAGGUCGGGGCCCAACCCCGGGACUGCAUUGGAAACUAUGUGACUGGAGUGCAGGAGAGGUUAGCGGAAUUCCUAGUGUAGCGGUGAAAUGCGUAGAUAUUAGGAGGAACACCAGUGGCGAAGGCGGCUCACUGGACUGUAACUGACGUUGAGGCGCGAAAGCGUGGGGAGCAAACAGGAUUAGAUACCCCUGUAGUC